This 301-nucleotide ribosomal RNA is filed under the name uncultured bacterium. RNAcentral's name for it is "partial 16S ribosomal RNA". It matches the Rfam family "Bacterial small subunit ribosomal RNA", at positions 509 to 808 of the family's 1533-position model. The record is from RNAcentral.
CAGUCGCCACGGUAACACAGAGGGUGCAAGCGUUAAUCGGAUUUACUGGGCGUAAAGGGCGCGUAGGUGGUUAUGUAAGUGAGAUGUGAAAUCCCCGGGCUCAACCUGGGAACUGCAUCUUAUACUGCGUAGCUGGAGUGCAGUAGAGGGUAGUGGAAUUUCCGUGUAGCGGUGAAAUGCGUAGAUAUCGGAAGGAACACCUGUGGCGAAAGCGGCUCACUGGACCAUUUCUGACGCUGAUGCACGAAAGCUAGGGGAGCAAACAGGAUUAGAUACCCCCGUAGUCCCUGUCUCUUAUACA